AGCGCCGAAUCCCCGUCCCGCGGUGGGGCGCGGGAAAUGUGGCGUACAGAAGACCCACUCUCCCCGGUGCCGCUCUCGGGGGCCCAAGUCCUUCUGAUCGAGGCACAGCCCGUGGACGGUGUGAGGCCGGUAGCGGCCCCCGGCGCGC
RNAcentral lists this microRNA precursor (148 nucleotides) under Pelodiscus sinensis (Chinese soft-shelled turtle). Its description in RNAcentral is "miRNA (ENSPSIG00000020134.1)". The record is from RNAcentral. Lineage: Eukaryota; Metazoa; Chordata; Testudines; Trionychidae.